RNAcentral lists this long non-coding RNA (303 nucleotides) under Ananas comosus (pineapple). RNAcentral's name for it is "long non-coding RNA (ACOM_LNC009601)". Lineage: Eukaryota; Viridiplantae; Streptophyta; Magnoliopsida; Poales; Bromeliaceae. The record is from RNAcentral.
CCAACUCCCAAAACUACUAGAAUUUCAUGAGAAAAGCAAGCAAAAAGUUUAAAGAAAGAUCAAAGAAUAGAUAAAGGGAUCCUAAAACAAAGAAAUCAGUGCAUUGAUAGAAUAGCAAUCACUACAAUAUUGUUAGGAAUUUCAAUUUAAUGUCUCUACUAUAUCAUGGAUUUACUUGCCAUGGCCACGGCGAGGCCAAUUAGCUAUCAGUACAAUAAGUGAGGACACUUGGCUGGCAAAGGCCAUAAACGGAGGACCUUUCAUGUGUCAACACGCAACAGCACAUAGAGGGGUGAAAAUGGU